UUCUAAGCUUCUCGUAAAUAAAAGUUCUACGAUGGCAAUGUUCACUAAACCAAAACUUCUGUUUCUCUUCUUCUGCAUCCUCUCUUUGUUCCUCGCAUCUCAAUGCGAUGAUAAUCCAGGACGAAAAGGUGCGUGUUAGCUAUAUAUACUUUUCCUGUUUUAAUUUACUUGUCUUACUUAUUUUAUGUUGUGUUGUACUGCUUUACUUGAGCGAGAGUCUUUUGGAACAGUUUCUCUAUCUUGUAGUGUGGCCUGUCGUACACACUACUAUUUCUAGACCACAGUUAUGGAGUUAAAGUUGUAUUACUUCUGUUAUGCUGUUUAGCUGUUUUUACUUGAGCCAAGUGAACUUUCAGAAACAAUCGCAGACUUCUAUCAUGCAUGGUCUAUUGAAAAGAAAAUACUCCUUCCAUAUUUGGUGUUUUUCUAACACUCAUUUAUAGUUAAUAUCUUUGAUCAUACUCUUUUAUAAAAAUAAUAUACUAGCAUGACUUCUCUAACUUGCACCAAUGGUAUUUUUGAUAUAAAAGCCCCAAGAUUAUAUUACAUUUUAAAAUUCAUGUUUAGUCAUGUACUCAUAUUUCGUGGCAGAGCUAGUCCGGCACCCUUGUUUUUUUAGGAAAACUCAAAAUAUUAAAGCUUGCUAGAGAUGAAGCAGCAUGUAAAUAAAAAAUUAGUUUCACCGUAGUAUUAAAAUGUAAUUUUUCAACAAAAUGAAAAUAGAAGUUAGAACCCAUGGUGUCAAACGAAACGGGCCAUGCUUGUAAUAUUUGCGGCGAUGCUACAUCGGUAAGCAAGAAUUCUUUUUGUCUAUGUACUCCCGUUCGAUAUUGUUUCAUUCAAUUUUAACUUGGAUAGUUAACUUGGUAUGAAGUUAAAUGUAAAUAAAGUUUUUGAAUUUUACUAAUGUAUUAAAAUGAUCCUUAAUUUGAUAAUUACAAAACGUUUUAGAAGUUUAUCAUAAAUGCAUCAAUGCAUCAGGUGAACAGUUAAAAUUAAAGAAUUUUUUUAAAAGGUAAAGAAUUUUUUUAAAAGGUAAAGAGACAUUUUUAUAACGUGGACUAUUAAAAAAUAUAGGCUUUGCUGCCUUUCUUUAACUAUGUUGUAUUUAUUAUUUGCUAACAGGCCAGCGGGAUCCUGAGGAGAGAUUCCGAGAGUGUCAACAGAGAUGCUGGACACAAGAACGUGGUGAACGAGUAUCACCGUGCGUACAACAUUGUCAACGAGAGUACCAAAGAGAGAGAGAAAAACAACAUCGUGGCCAGGAGGAGACUAGGGAUGAAAAUCAAGGACGUGGCAAACGUGAGCCUGAGGAGAGACUCAGAGAGUGCCAACAAAGGUGCCAGAGACAAGAAGAGGGCCAACAGCAAUGGCAGUGCCAACAACGUUGUCAGCAAGAGUACCAAAGAGAGAAAGAACAACACCACCGUGGCCAGGAGGAUGAAAAUCAAGGACGAGGCAAACGUGACCCCGAGGAGAGACUCAGAGAGUGCCAACACAGGUGCCAGAGACAGGAAGAGGGACAACAAAAGUGGCAGUGCCAACAACGUUGUCAACAAGAGUACCAAAGAGAGAAAGAACAACACCACCGUGUCCAAGAGACUAACCCACAAAGAGAAGAAGUGAAGAAUCCCUACUUAUUCGAGUCUCAGAGGUUCAGGUCUCGAGUCAGGGCCAGCCAUGGAGAUUUCCGCAUGCUCGAGAAAUUCACUCAAAGAUCCGAACUUCUCCAAGGAAUAGAAAAAUUCCGUGUUGCGGUCCUUGAACUUGAACCUCAGUCUUUCAUGUUGCCUCAUCACUGUGAUAGCGAAACCAUAUUUGUUGUUAUU
This 1829-nucleotide long non-coding RNA is filed under the name Capsicum annuum. RNAcentral's name for it is "long non-coding RNA (CANN_LNC021498)". Lineage: Eukaryota; Viridiplantae; Streptophyta; Magnoliopsida; Solanales; Solanaceae. The record is from RNAcentral.